Molecule: unclassified non-coding RNA, 897 nt
Filed under: Hevea brasiliensis (rubber tree)
Lineage: Eukaryota; Viridiplantae; Streptophyta; Magnoliopsida; Malpighiales; Euphorbiaceae
Source: RNAcentral
CAAGGCUUCAAUUCUGUCUCUUUCGUCUUCCCUGGAAGGAUGGUGAUCAGAGGAGAGAGCCUCAGCGACUCCUCCGCGACUCAUAACAGCCCGGCAGUCACCGGCAUUGGAAACCACAAGGUCGCCCUUGUGAAUCAUUGCGGUGACACAACAAGCACCACCACCAACGCUUUGCUUUAGAAAUUCUGUGUCUGUAGUCAAGUAGCCAUUUCUAAUUGCCAUUUCUAUUCCCAUUUUCUCCUCGCAUCUGCUUGCUACAGCUGCCAUUAUGUUCUUCUCCAAAUUCUUGGAGGCGAAUUCCGCAGCUUUUGAGCCUCCAUGCCCAUCAAAAACACCAAAGAAAGCCUGUUUAGAAUCUCCAUUGACAUCAACAAAAGCAGAGUAUCGAUCCUCCAUGAGCCCUCUCCUUCCUCGUUUACAAUAAACCGAAUACCCAUCUCCUUCAGCCUCAAUUACCUCCACCCUUUCCUCCUCUCUUCUCGGCGUCUCUAAACCAAAUCCACAAAAUCCAUCAGUCACCACCGGAAUAGCAAUCCUCCCCGGCCUCUUCCUCUUCAACACCGUACCUGAAUUCGCUUCCAACCUUUUCUCAUUUACCCGAAUCGCCAAAGGCGAUCUUGGAGACGCAGAAGGGGAAGACGAAGAUGAUGGUAAUGAUAACGACGUAGGUGAUUGUGAGCCAUGGAUUUUAGGCGACGGACAUGGCUUGCAAAAGAUGGAAGGGAUUCUCGGCGAUGAAAAUAUCGGAGAGUUGGGCACCUGUACCGCCACGGGACCUGCCAUCUCCGAUUAAUUUCGGUUUCAAAAGUCAACAAAAUUUCAGAUGACUGCCUUCCUCUUCUUCUCCUUCUUCUUCUUCUUCUGUUUUUAUGGUUUCGGAGAGAGGAGAAAGUACGC